Molecule: ribosomal RNA, 636 nt
Filed under: uncultured bacterium
Lineage: Bacteria
Description: bacterial SSU rRNA
Rfam family: Bacterial small subunit ribosomal RNA
Source: RNAcentral
UGAGUGGCGGACGGGUGAGUAACGCGUGGGCAACCUGCCCCAUACAGGGGGAUAACAGUUAGAAAUGACUGCUAACACCGCAUAAGCGCACAGGGCCGCAUGACCCGGUGUGAAAAACUCCGGUGGUAUGGGAUGGGCCCGCGUCUGAUUAGCCAGUUGGCGGGGUAACGGCCCACCAAAGCGACGAUCAGUAGCCGACCUGAGAGGGUGACCGGCCACAUUGGGACUGAGACACGGCCCAAACUCCUACGGGAGGCAGCAGUGGGGAAUAUUGCACAAUGGGGGGAACCCUGAUGCAGCGACGCCGCGUGAGCGAAGAAGUAUCUCGGUAUGUAAAGCUCUAUCAGCAGGGAAGAAAAAUGACGGUACCUGACUAAGAAGCCCCGGCUAACUACGUGCCAGCAGCCGCGGUAAUACGUAGGGGGCAAGCGUUAUCCGGAUUUACUGGGUGUAAAGGGAGCGCAGGCGGCGCGGCAAGUCUGAUGUGAAAGCCCGGGGCUCAACCCCGGGACUGCAUUGGAAACUGUCGCGCUCGAGUGUCGGAGAGGUAAGUGGAAUUCCUAGUGUAGCGGUGAAAUGCGUAGAUAUUAGGAGGAACACCAGUGGCGAAGGCGGCUUACUGGACGACAACUGACG